Oryza sativa Japonica Group (Japanese rice) is the source of this 2543-nucleotide non-coding RNA. NCBI's taxonomy places the organism in Eukaryota, Viridiplantae, Streptophyta, Magnoliopsida, Poales, Poaceae. The record is from RefSeq and is a predicted model, not a curated record.
UUACAACUUAUACUAUAUUGCCGUGUACUAAUUUACAACUAUUAGUAACAAACAACUAGUUUAAUAAUCCAAAUAAAAUAUAACACCUUUGUACCUAUUUUAACACACAACAUAUCAAUAAUAUGUACUAACUAAGAACUAAUUUAACCGUACAAUUACUUAAAUACCUCUACCAACAUUUAGCAAUAACAAAUAUGUGCUAACCAUACAUACUAACAUCGAACAAUGCGAAACAAUCAACAACUCUUAAACCAAUUUUUUAUUAAACUUUCAUAUGCAUUGUACUUAGGGAUUACUAAUGUAUACCUUAACUUCACUGCUGGAGGGUGUCGCCAACCCUUUCCUCCCGGCCGGCGCCUCCUCGGCCUCCUCUCUGGCCUGCUAUCCCCUCCCCUCGCUCCCUCCGGCGCUCACGACGACGAAGUGGCGACUCUCGGCGGCGGCUGGCGAUGUGGUCCUCAAAACAAAUCGAACUCGCGGCCUGGGUGGAUGGGGCUUUAAACCGGCCUGUCAAACGCCCAUUGUUCGACAGGGUCGGUGGAGGGCCCUGUCGAACGCCCCCGGUUCGACAGGCCUCGCGGCGCCGGGUGGUGGGCCCUGUCGAACUCCCUCCGUUCGACAGGUGAGCGUGUCGAACGCCAGCCAUUCGACAGGGCUUUGUCGACUGCCCGUCGUUCGAUAGGUGCCCUAUCGAAUUGCACCCGUUCGACAGGGACCUACUUUCGCGAUUUUUCCCGGUUGGCCACUACUUUUGCGAUUUUCCAUAAAAAUAAUAUUAAUUCUCAAAAAAAUUCUACCAAGGUCACUGCCAUAUUUUUCUGUUGCUCAUGCACGCUGGGAUCAUCGCCUCUCUGCUCCACACUGCUGCGCCCAAGAAACCUGACCAACCAGCAAAUCAAAGCUAUCAUCGCCGGGAUGUCGAGCUUUACAUCAUCAUGCUCACUCUUCUUCCAUAACCUCUAUCACCGUCCUGUUUUUAGCGCUGCCAUAAUACUUGGGAGGUCGAGCAAUGCAGUGGAUCAGAUCAGCUGCUGCAACGACGUCUCGUGAGUUUCUGCCAUUAUUGUCGCACGAGCAUCUUGCUGCCACAACUCUGACAUGGUUGACGUUGUUGCUGAGGAGGUUGCUGUUGCAGGUGAAGGUUCAGUCUGAAGAUCCUGAAGAUCCCGUGGGUAAAAGCAAGUGUACCCUUGAACAUGUUGAUCCCAACUUUAAAAAUUAUCUUGUUUUAAAUUAUAUGCAUUGUUUUGUUUUACAAAUUAUUGUGUGGGUAGUUAUAACCUACUUGUUAAUUAUUCCAUGCCUUGAAUUAUUGUUGAUUAUCCUUGAUUAUUUGUCACCUAGACUGUAUGAGAGUCAAACAUGGGGUAUUGGCUCAGGGUAGUAGAUUUGCUUAGCCCUGCUCACACUUUUACAAGGCAAAAUAUAAUAUUGACUAAUGAUCUACUUAUCACUGUUUUUUUAUAUAAACUGUGUGGUUGUGUGCUAUCUUCUUGGUGGCAUGUGUUGCACCGUGUAGUAAUGAUCUGGUGGAAAAUGUUUUAGACCAGGGCGAUGGUGGAUCUGUGUGAACCUAGGAGGUAAGCCAUCUGUAUGCGUGCUUACUGUUGACCUAUGUGGUCGAUUGAGCUAUGUGCUCCAUUUUUGCUGUGUGCUUGAGGUCCUUAGUUUAGGCAAGUCGCCCUGGUCAGAUAAGGACUUCACUUCGUGCGCCAUUGAUCUGAGUCUUACCGUGCAACCACAUGUCCUCAUGGGAAGGACCUAGCUUAGUACACUACUUAGCUUUGGCACCGACGGCCCAGGUGGCUAGAUGAUAGGUUUUUGGAUUGUACAUGGGACCUUUCACCUGUGUGGUGAUGGGAGGACCGCCCAUGGGGAAGCCGGUGUUAGGGUGAGGUAGAGGAAACGCUUUGUUACUCUUUGGUGUUUAGCGGCACCGAACUGUAUCUCGUGGGUAAAGUUGUACAACCUCUGCAGAGUGUUAAUCUAUUCGAAUAGCCGCGUCCUCGGUUAUGGACAUGCUCGGUGAUUUCACAUGAGGGGUAGAUUUGUGAAAGUUUUACUUUUGGGAAAGAGCUGUGUGCAGGAUAAAUUAAUGAAUAUAGCUGUGUGGUCCUGUGUGGACGCAAUAUCCUUUUUGGGUUGGUUGGUUGGUUAAAAAUACCGUGAUUGCAAAUGUUGUUUAAAUUAAAUUUGUAUCCAUUUAUUGUAUUUAAGUUCUCAAAUGCCUUUAUGCAAAUGAACCCUAACCUUCCUUUGAAGCCAUGUAUCAUAUAUUGCAUAUUCCCGUACACUUGGGAGUACUUUAUGUACUUACCCUUGUUGUCUCACAAAAUUUCAGAGAAGGUCAGUUGUUUCCAGAAGUUCUGUUGCUGAGGAUGUCGAAUAGGUUGCGUGCCACAGUCGAUUGUCUCAUUGGUGCCUCUCGAUUCUUUUUCCGCUGCUUAUCUUUGUUUGGCCCUGUGUGGAAAGAAAUUGUAAAAUCUGGUCAUAAGACCAAUGUAAAAUUUAUAUUUGUUUCCUAUUUAUUAACAUAAUUGUGA